Molecule: ribosomal RNA, 253 nt
Filed under: Agathobaculum desmolans
Lineage: Bacteria; Bacillati; Bacillota; Clostridia; Eubacteriales; Butyricicoccaceae
Description: partial 16S ribosomal RNA
Rfam family: Bacterial small subunit ribosomal RNA
Source: RNAcentral
UACGUAGGGAGCAAGCGUUAUCCGGAUUUACUGGGUGUAAAGGGCGCGCAGGCGGGCCGGCAAGUUGGAAGUGAAACCUAUGGGCUUAACCCAUAAACUGCUUUCAAAACUGCUGGUCUUGAGUGAUGGAGAGGCAGGCGGAAUUCCGUGUGUAGCGGUGAAAUGCGUAGAUAUACGGAGGAACACCAGUGGCGAAGGCGGCCUGCUGGACAUUAACUGACGCUGAGGCGCGAAAGCGUGGGGAGCAAACAGG